Molecule: ribosomal RNA, 121 nt
Filed under: Pteropus vampyrus (large flying fox)
Lineage: Eukaryota; Metazoa; Chordata; Mammalia; Chiroptera; Pteropodidae
Source: RNAcentral
GUCUACGGCCACCCCCACCUCUGGACAUGACCAAUCCUGUCUGAUCCCGGAAGCUAAGCAGGGUCGGGCCUGGUUAGUACUUGGAUGGGAGACCUCCUAGGAAGAGCAGGUGUUGUAGGCG